This 711-nucleotide small RNA is filed under the name Pan troglodytes (chimpanzee). RNAcentral describes it as "retained intron". Lineage: Eukaryota; Metazoa; Chordata; Mammalia; Primates; Hominidae. The record is from RNAcentral.
GAGCUUCCACCCCUACGACCAGUAGCCCAGCACCUGCAGUAUCCACUUCAACAUCAUCAUCCACCCCUUCCUCUACCACUUCUACCACAACAACUGCUACUUCAGUUGCGCAGACAGUAUCAAGCUAGGUCUAUGCUAGACCAACAAUUCAUUCCUGGGCCCCUGAAGAUACUUGUUUGGCCCUGCUGUCUAUUUAGCCAAGCACCCACAACACAAGAUCAGACCCCAAGUUCUGCUGUUUCAGUUGCCACGCCUACAGUUAGUGUUUCAACUCCUGCUCCUACAGCCACACCUGUGCAAACCGUUCCCCAGCCGCACCCUCAGACGUUACCUCCUGCUGUUCCUCAUUCAGUACCUCAGCCAACAACAGCAAUACCUGCUUUUCCACCAGUAAUGGUACCUCCGUUUCGUGUUCCCCUUCCUGGCAUGCCAAUUCCACUUCCAGGUGUAUUGCCAGGAAUGGCCCCUCCUAUCGUACCCAUGAUACAUCCCCAGGUUGCUAUUGCAGCUUCACCUGCUACCUUAGCUGGAGCAACAGCAGUUUCUGAAUGGACUGAAUAUAAAACAGCAGAUGGGAAGACAUAUUAUUAUAAUAAUAGAACAUUAGAAUCAACCUGGGAAAAACCCCAAGAACUAAAGGAAAAAGGUAUAUAAUGGUUUUAAUGACUUGGAAAGUAGUAUAAACUGUAAUAAGUAGAAUGGUAUUUGAAA